UACGUAGGUGGCAAGCGUUAUCCGGAUUUACUGGGUGUAAAGGGCGUGUAGGCGGCUCUGCAAGUCAGAUGUGAAAUUCCCGGGCUCAACUCGGGCGCUGCAUCUGAAACUGCAGAACUUGAGUGCUGGAGGGGAUAGCGGAAUUCCUAGUGUAGCGGUAAAAUGCGUAGAUAUUAGGAAGAACACCGGUGGCGAAGGCGGCUGUCUGGACAGUAACUGACGCUGAGGCGCGAAAGCGUGGGGAGCAAAC
RNAcentral lists this ribosomal RNA (250 nucleotides) under uncultured prokaryote. Its description in RNAcentral is "partial 16S ribosomal RNA". It matches the Rfam family "Bacterial small subunit ribosomal RNA", at positions 524 to 773 of the family's 1533-position model. The record is from RNAcentral.